RNAcentral lists this ribosomal RNA (1370 nucleotides) under uncultured Bacteroidota bacterium. RNAcentral's name for it is "bacterial SSU rRNA". It matches the Rfam family "Bacterial small subunit ribosomal RNA", at positions 27 to 1394 of the family's 1533-position model. Lineage: Bacteria; Pseudomonadati; Bacteroidota. The record is from RNAcentral.
GGAUGAACGCUAGCGGCAGGCCUAACACAUGCAAGUCGAGGGGUAACAGAGAGAAGCUUGCUUUUCUGCUGACGACCGGCGCACGGGUGAGUAACGCGUAUACAAUCUGCCUUAUACAGAGGGAUAGCCUUUAGAAAUGAAGAUUAAUACCUUAUAGUCUAUUUUUAUAGCAUUAUAUAAAUAGUAAAGCUUCGGUGGUAUAAGAUGAGUAUGCGUCCUAUUAGUUAGUUGGUAAGGUAACGGCUUACCAAGACAACGAUAGGUAGGGGCCCUGAGAGGGGGAUCCCCCACACUGGUACUGAGACACGGACCAGACUCCUACGGGAGGCAGCAGUGAGGAAUAUUGGACAAUGGAGGCAACUCUGAUCCAGCCAUGCCGCGUGCAGGAAGACGGCCCUAUGGGUUGUAAACUGCUUUUAUAUAGGAAGAAACCUUUUCACGUGUGAGAAGCUGACGGUACUAUAAGAAUAAGGACCGGCUAACUCCGUGCCAGCAGCCGCGGUAAUACGGAGGGUCCGAGCGUUAUCCGGAAUCAUUGGGUUUAAAGGGUCCGUAGGCGGGAAUCUAAGUCAGUGGUGAAAUCUUGCAGCUCAACUGUAAAAUUGCCAUUGAUACUGGAUUUCUUGAAUUUAGUGUGAAGUGAUUAGAAUGUGUAGUGUAGCGGUGAAAUGCAUAGAUAUUACACAGAAUACCAAUUGCGAAGGCAGAUCACUAACACUAUAUUGACGCUGAGGGACGAAAGCGUGGGGAGCGAACAGGAUUAGAUACCCUGGUAGUCCACGCCGUAAACGAUGGAUACUAGCUGUUCGAUCUUUGGAUUGAGUGGCUAAGCGAAAGUGAUAAGUAUCCCACCUGGGGAGUACGUUCGCAAGAAUGAAACUCAAAGGAAUUGACGGGGGCCCGCACAAGCGGUGGAGCAUGUGGUUUAAUUCGAUGAUACGCGAGGAACCUUACCAGGGCUUAAAUGUAGUCUGACAGCUUUAGAGAUAGAGUUUUCUUCGGACAGAUUACAAGGUGCUGCAUGGUUGUCGUCAGCUCGUGCCGUGAGGUGUCAGGUUAAGUCCUAUAACGAGCGCAACCCCUGUUGUUAGUUGCCAGCGAGUAAUGUCGGGAACUCUAACAAGACUGCCGGUGCAAACCGUGAGGAAGGUGGGGAUGACGUCAAAUCAUCACGGCCCUUACGUCCUGGGCCACACACGUGCUACAAUGGUAUGGACAAUGAGCAGCCAUCUGGCAACAGAGCGCGAAUCUACAAACCAUAUCACAGUUCGGAUCGGAGUCUGCAACUCGACUCCGUGAAGCUGGAAUUACUAGUAAUCGUGGAUCAGCGUGCCACGGUGAAUGCGUUCCCGGGUCUUGUACUCACCGCC